RNAcentral lists this unclassified non-coding RNA (240 nucleotides) under Hevea brasiliensis (rubber tree). Lineage: Eukaryota; Viridiplantae; Streptophyta; Magnoliopsida; Malpighiales; Euphorbiaceae. The record is from RNAcentral.
CAGAGAUUCACCAGCAAAUUUAUCUGGAAGAACCAUACCAUUCAAAGGAGACAACAAGCGUUUCCUAACUAAUGAACUUGCAGUCUCAUUCAUUUUGUCAAUGUCCCGAACAACAGUAGAUGAAUCGAUGUUAUCCAAUGAAUUUGCUUCAAACAAACUAGCAUGGCUUCUUAUUGCACUUUUUGAUUCGAACCCAACAAUCCUUGAGGCAGGACUCUGGGUAGUUCUUCCACCAUCAUG